GGCUCAGGAUGAACGCUGGCGGCGUGCUUAAUACAUGCAAGUCGAACGGAGUGUUUUGUAGUAAUACGAAACUCUCAGUGGCGAACGGGCGAGUAACGAGUUGGUGACCUGCCCCGAAGUGUGGGAUAACAGUCCGAAAGGAUUGCUAAUACCGCAUGUGAUCGUUGGUUUUAGAAUCUGACGAUUAAAGCAGUAAUGCGCUUCGGGAGGGACCUGCUUCCCAUCAGCUAGUUGGUGAGGUAACGGCCCACCAAGGCUACGACGGGUAAGGGACCUGAGAGGGUGGUCCCUCGCAAUGGCACUGAAACACGGGCCAUACACCUACGGGUGGCAGCAGUAGGGAAUAUUGGGCAAUGGGCGAAAGCCUGACCCAGCAACGCCGCGUGCACGAUGAAGGCCUUCGGGUCGUAAAGUGCUUUUCUGAGGGAUGAGUAAGGACAGUACCUCAGGAAUAAGCCUCGGCUAACUACGUGCCAGCAGCCGCGGUAAAACGUAGGAGGCGAGCGUUAUCCGGAUUUACUGGGCGUAAAGCGUGUGUAGGCGGUUCGGCAAGUUGGAUGUGAAAGCUCCUGGCUUAACUAGGAGAGGUCGUUCAAUACUACCAAACUUGAGGGCAUCAGAGGAAGGUGGAAUUCCCGGUGUAGUGGUGAAAUGCGUAGAUAUCGGGAGGAACACCAGUGGCGAAAGCGGCCUUCUGGGAUGCUCCUGACGCUCAGACACGAAAGCUAGGGUAGCGAACGGGAUUAGAGACCCCGGUAGUCCUAGCAGUAAACGAUGUAGACUUGGUGUCGGAGGUGUCAAAACCUUCGGUAUCGUAGCUAACGCGAUAAGUCUACCGCC
RNAcentral lists this ribosomal RNA (840 nucleotides) under uncultured bacterium. RNAcentral describes it as "bacterial SSU rRNA". It matches the Rfam family "Bacterial small subunit ribosomal RNA", at positions 21 to 873 of the family's 1533-position model. The record is from RNAcentral.